GUGGGGAAUAUUGGACAAUGGGCGAAAGCCUGAUCCAGCAAUGCCGCGUGAGUGAUGAAGGCCUUAGGGUUGUAAAGCUCUUUUACCCGGGAAGAUAAUGACUGUACCGGGAGAAUAAGCCCCGGCUAACUCCGUGCCAGCAGCCGCGGUAAUACGGAGGGGGCUAGCGUUGUUCGGAAUUACUGGGCGUAAAGCGCACGUAGGCGGUUUUGUAAGUUAGAGGUGAAAGCCUGGGGCUCAACCCCAGAAUUGCCUUUAAGACUGCAUCACUUGAACGUCGGAGAGGUGAGUGGAAUUCCGAGUGUAGAGGUGAAAUUCGUAGAUAUUCGGAAGAACACCAGUGGCGAAGGCGGCUCACUGGACGACUGUUGACGCUGAGGUGCGAAAGCGUGGGGAGCAAACAGGAUUAGAAACCCUUGUAGUCC
This 425-nucleotide ribosomal RNA is filed under the name uncultured bacterium. Its description in RNAcentral is "partial 16S ribosomal RNA". It matches the Rfam family "Bacterial small subunit ribosomal RNA", at positions 354 to 796 of the family's 1533-position model. The record is from RNAcentral.